Molecule: unclassified non-coding RNA, 208 nt
Filed under: Polyporus pseudobetulinus
Lineage: Eukaryota; Fungi; Basidiomycota; Agaricomycetes; Polyporales; Polyporaceae
Description: partial ITS1
Source: RNAcentral
AUCGAGUUUUUGAAAGGAGUUGUAGCUGGCCUCAUGGGGCAUGUGCACGCUCUGCUUCAAUCCACUCUCUACACCUGUGCACUUACUGUGGGCUUUCCGGAGGGAGGGUUUGCAAUCCGUUUGUAAAUCUUUUGGGAGGGCCUGCGUUUAUUCACAAACACUUAUAACAGUAAUGGAAUGUAUACUAUGAUGUAACACAUCUAUAAUA